This is a long non-coding RNA of Vicia villosa (hairy vetch), 448 nucleotides long. RefSeq lists it as uncharacterized. The record is from RefSeq and is a predicted model, not a curated record. NCBI's taxonomy places the organism in Eukaryota, Viridiplantae, Streptophyta, Magnoliopsida, Fabales, Fabaceae. The transcript has 5 exons.
UCUAACAAGUCAUUCCACAAACAUUUCUUCUUGCUUAACUCACAAGACGAAUAAAUAUUAACAAUGUAGUAAAUAUUACAGGAUUUACAUUAAAGAGGAGAAAUAAUGGAACAGGCAGAGGGAAUAUUUCAUCAUCAUUGAAGGAUGCCUUUCCUUUACUGUAACUCAAACCAUCGGUGCUUGGUGCUUCUUGACGCUGCGCGACUACCUCUACCGCAAAUCAUCUCCUUUCCCUUUUGAAUCGAUCUACUAUUGGUAAUAAUGAAUAUAAAGAGAAAGGAAGAGAUAUGUUAGAGACAUGGACAUGAGUUUUCUUAUUUUAAGUUACUAAAAGUGUUUGGCUCAUGCUCAUGGAAGAUUAUAUUAUGGAUGCCAUGACAGUAGUGUUCAGGAGAUACAUUUGGCCACUGGAACUAUCAGUAAUAUACAAAGUGUUCUAAAAGAUUAA